AAGGAGUCUAACAUAUCUGCGAGUAUUUGGGUGUCAAACCCGAGCGCGCAAUGAAAGUGAACGUAGGAGCCACGCCCAAGCUGCAGCUUCGACCGAUCUGGAUCUUUAGUGAUGGAUUUGAGUAAGAGCGUAUAUGAUGGGACCCGAAAGAUGGUGAACUAUGCCUGAAUAGGGCGAAGCCAGAGGAAACUCUGGUGGAGGCUCGUAGCGAUUCUGACGUGCAAAUCGGUCGUCAGAUUUGGGUAUAGGGGCGAAAGACUAAUCGAACCAUCUAGUAGCUGGUUCCUGC
RNAcentral lists this unclassified non-coding RNA (289 nucleotides) under uncultured fungus. RNAcentral's name for it is "partial contains 5.8S rRNA, ITS2 and 28S rRNA". It matches the Rfam family "Eukaryotic large subunit ribosomal RNA", at positions 668 to 961 of the family's 3401-position model. The record is from RNAcentral. Lineage: Eukaryota; Fungi.